This 253-nucleotide ribosomal RNA is filed under the name uncultured bacterium. Its description in RNAcentral is "partial 16S ribosomal RNA". It matches the Rfam family "Bacterial small subunit ribosomal RNA", at positions 524 to 776 of the family's 1533-position model. The record is from RNAcentral.
UACGAAGGGGGCUAGCGUUGUUCGGAAUUACUGGGCGUAAAGCGUGCGCAGGCAGCUUCUCAAGUCAGGGGUGAAAGCCCAGAGCUCAACUCUGGAAUUGCCUUUGAGACUGAGUGGCUUGAGUACGGGAGAGGUGAGUGGAAUUCCCAGUGUAGAGGUGAAAUUCGUAGAUAUUGGGAAGAACACCGGUGGCGAAGGCGGCUCACUGGCCCGUAACUGACGCUCAUGCACGACAGCGUGGGGAUCAAACAGG